CCAAAUUUUACCUCCAGCCGCGCGUGUUCUACCUCCAGACACGCGCGUUUCAGUUGCGAGACAUUCUCGCGAUACCUGCGCGAGACCAUUUGGCAUGGCGUGCACACAUCAAUGAUUUUCAUGUUCGGGCGAAUGGAUCGAAAAUUGUCGUUAAUUUUAGGGUUUUAAGCUAUAUUUUUGUAUUCAAAGUGUAUUUAAAACAUAUCUUGAACCCUACCGAGUCAAACUGCGAGGAAAAAAGUGACCGAUGGGAAGAAAAUGAACACUGCAUCGAAGAAGUUUGGAGACAAGUCAGACAACGAGUCCAUAUUUGAAUGAUUGGAACGUUUACAUGAAACUUGAGAUGAAAGAUAAGUAAUUCUUUAUUUUAACGUAUUAACAUAACAACUUCAUUGAUUGUUGAACAAUAUAAGUUUAUUUAGUCUGUGUCUAUCACUUUGUUUGCCUUUGUUGACGACUUGUUCUAUGUAUUUUUUGCCGAAUGUGAAUAAUCGCAACGUGAAAUACUUGUCCGCCGAGGGGCACUUCACUCCAAAAAAGCGUACGGGAUUUUCGGAUUUUUAAAAAUCCGCGGAUUUUUUAGCGGAUUUUCCCCGGAUAUUUUAGCGGAUUUUUGAAGAGAAAAUCUGUUGGAUUUUCCAGAUUUGUUGGGAUUUUCCGGAUUUAUUCGGAUUUUUUCUGGAUUUUUGAAAAUCUGUUGGAUUUUCCGGAUUGUUUGGAUUUUCCGGAUUUGUUCGGAUUUUUUCAGGAUUUUUUUUAAAUUAUAGAGUUAUAGAUCUAGGUAACGUUUUGAACAAAUAAUCUUAAGUUGUACGACGUCUACAACGUCAACGUUAUGCCAGGACGUCAGGGUCGAGCGGAGGACUGGGACUAGAACCACAGCCUUCAGAAACUAACGAAGGCUGGGCAUGCAGUCAUUUUGUUUAAAAUUCAAACAAGUUCAUUAUUCUUUCAAAAACAGUAAAAGACAAUGAUGAAU
This is a non-coding RNA of Paramuricea clavata, 979 nucleotides long. Lineage: Eukaryota; Metazoa; Cnidaria; Anthozoa; Malacalcyonacea; Plexauridae. The record is from the annotation of a GenBank genome assembly.